GACGAACGCUGGCGGCGUGCUUAACACAUGCAAGUCGUACGGUAAGGCCCUUUCGGGGGUACACGAGUGGCGCACGGGUGAGUAACACGUGAGUAACCUGCCCACAACUUUGGGAUAACGCUAGGAAACUGGUGCUAAUACUGGAUAUGUGCUCCUGCUGCAUGGUGGGGGUUGGAAAGCUCCGGCGGUUGUGGAUGGACUCGCGGCCUAUCAGCUUGUUGGUGGGGUAGUGGCCUACCAAGGCGGCGACGGGUAGCCGGCCUGAGAGGGUGACCGGCCACAUUGGGACUGAGAUACGGCCCAGACUCCUACGGGAGGCAGCAGUGGGGAAUAUUGCACAAUGGGCGCAAGCCUGAUGCAGCAACGCCGCGUGCGGGAUGACGGCCUUCGGGUUGUAAACCGCGUUCAGCAGGGACGAAGCUUUUUGUGACGGUACCUGCAGAAGAAGCACCGGCUAACUACGUG
Molecule: ribosomal RNA, 465 nt
Filed under: uncultured bacterium
Lineage: Bacteria
Description: partial 16S ribosomal RNA
Rfam family: Bacterial small subunit ribosomal RNA
Source: RNAcentral